GGAUCUUUGCUUGAGCAACGACGUCUUCCCUUUUAAGUUUCUUCUUUCUUGGUCCAAGAUCGUGUAAGCCUUGGCCGUUUGUUGGUUUCCUGUGUUGCAUACCUAUCACCUGGAAUUGUUUGUUUCAAACGUCCCUUGUUCAUUGUGCGAAGGUGCGUUAUGCGUGCAUGUCGCUGAUGAACCACGAAGCGCUCAUUGCGGUCCGCCUCGGCCAUGUUCAUUCAUGUGUUGUACUCGGCCCGUGAUGGUUUGCCUGUACUCAUGGAUGCGGAAACCUUAGAGGGUAUGGGGCAUUGUCCCCUCUCUACCCAAAAUUAAGCGUUCACCGCUAACUAGCGAACGACCGUCGUUCUUGACUUGGGCUGGUCGACUUCAAGUGUCGUGCCAUGCUUGAGCAACAUCGACGUCGAUGAGGAAUGCUACC
Molecule: unclassified non-coding RNA, 424 nt
Filed under: Schizacme montana
Lineage: Eukaryota; Viridiplantae; Streptophyta; Magnoliopsida; Gentianales; Loganiaceae
Description: partial external transcribed spacer
Source: RNAcentral